Molecule: ribosomal RNA, 460 nt
Filed under: uncultured bacterium
Lineage: Bacteria
Description: partial 16S ribosomal RNA
Rfam family: Bacterial small subunit ribosomal RNA
Source: RNAcentral
CCUACGGGAGGCAGCAGUGAGGAAUAUUGGUCAAUGGACGAGAGUCUGAACCAGCCAAGUAGCGUGAAGGAUGACUGCCCUAUGGGUUGUAAACUUCUUUUAUAUGGGAAUAAAACGUUCCACGUGUGUGAUUUUGUAUGUACCAUAUGAAUAAGGAUCGGCUAACUCCGUGCCAGCAGCCGCGGUAAUACGGAGGAUCCGAGCGUUAUCCGGAUUUAUUGGGUUUAAAGGGAGCGUAGGUGGAUUGAUAAGUCAGUUGUGAAAGUUUGCGGCUCAACCGUAAAAUUGCAGUUGAGACUGGCAGUCUUGAGUACAGUAGAGGUGGGCGGAAUGCGUGGUGUAGCGGUGAAAUGCUUAGAUAUCACGAAGAACUCCGAUUGCGAAGGCAGUUCACUGGACUGCAACUGACACUGAGGCUCGAAAGUGUGGGUAUCAAACAGGAUUAGAUACCCGAGUAGUC